GGGAGAGCUAAAGAGAUCAGGAUCUCAGUAGUUCAGCUAUAAAACACAGGGGAGGGAAUAGAAUCAGGAUUUUUGUUAUUUCCAGUGCCUGUGGUUCAGUACAAGCACAGACUAUCCCAUGCUGGAAUUCAGUGUUCCUAAAUCCAAGCCCCCCAGAGCCAUCCCAAAGCCCUGAGGUGAUAAGGAGUUGGGAUUCCAUCAGCAGCCUGAGGUCACUUCUGUCCUGAUGGCCUCGAGGUCCCUCCAUGCCCAGCUGGGAGCUUCAAGCCCAAGGACGGAGUUCCCAGAGCCAGCAGCAGCUCCUUGUGCUUGCCAGGAGCUGGCUUGUGUUUGAAGUGCCCUGCUGGUUAUUUCUGCCCUGCUGGAGCCAGUUUCCCCGUGC
Long non-coding RNA from Passer domesticus (house sparrow), 382 nucleotides. RefSeq lists it as uncharacterized. The transcript is spliced from 3 exons. NCBI's taxonomy places the organism in Eukaryota, Metazoa, Chordata, Aves, Passeriformes, Passeridae. The record is from RefSeq and is a predicted model, not a curated record.